Pogona vitticeps (central bearded dragon) is the source of this 629-nucleotide non-coding RNA. The record is from RefSeq and is a predicted model, not a curated record. NCBI's taxonomy places the organism in Eukaryota, Metazoa, Chordata, Lepidosauria, Squamata, Agamidae.
GUUCCCCCUUCGCGACGGGCAGCAGUGCAAGGCCGUUGCGUCGUUUCCCACUACUGUAUGGUGCAAAGUGGGAUAUCCACCCAUUUGGCAACAGUGUAUUUUAUUCACCUAGGACUAAAUCUCAUCAUUAAUCCAAGACUGGACAGAUGCAUCGAAUUAAAGACACUGAGGAAUCCCCAAAAACGCAAACCAUUUAGAAAAUUAAACUUUCCUGUUAUGUCUAUCCCAGUGGUAAUAACAAGAUUCUGAGAUAUAGGAAAUAGACAUUCCCAACAGUUUAUAUCCCAUCUUUCAAUUACUUGACUCUCAAGGUGACUUGCAAAUACAUUGUAACAACACAUGCACACCCAACAAAUGUUCACCAAAUGUGAACAUACAGUCCAAAAGCCUUCAACACCUCUGGCUGACAGAUGGGACCAGAAAUUUCUCUUUGGUUCUGCAGGCAUGGGGCAACUGGCUGUCUGGGUGCCUUUUUCAGUGUGGGAGGAUCUACAGCUGCUCUGCCUCUUACUAUGAUGUUUUUCUUUAGAAGUAGGUUGUGCUCUUGAUUCCACAGUUAGCAGCAGCAUUAAAAAUAUAUCAGUUUUUCUGCUUCUUAGGUGCAUGAGGGCAGAGGUGGAUAAAUAACU